Long non-coding RNA from Neogale vison (American mink), 1172 nucleotides. RefSeq lists it as uncharacterized. Lineage: Eukaryota; Metazoa; Chordata; Mammalia; Carnivora; Mustelidae. The transcript is spliced from 4 exons. The record is from RefSeq and is a predicted model, not a curated record.
UCCUGUUGCUGGCUUUUUUUGCUUUCCAUUUUUGUCCGAUUAUAAAAAUGGAGCGGCGCAGGUUCAGUAACAGAGCACCCCGUAGCCUAAAUGUAAUGGUUGGGGUGGGAGAUGCCAUCAGCCCGUCCUGCCCUCCUAGGCACGUGUCCUUUGGCUCUGGAGGUGACCGGUCCAGCAGCUACUGUGCCUACCUUGUGGCGGUGUUACGACCACGUUGUGAUCAAAGUUACAGGGUUGCGGACAGACAGCAAACCAGUCCAAAGCACUGGCCUGUGGACCACAGUCUGAGGAGCCUUGGGGUAGGACCCUCUGGAAGCCACUGGAUCUUUGAGGAAAUGGUGGUCCACAGAGCCAGACACAUGGAUACGGCAGAGUCCCUCCCCUCAAGAAGAUGACAGAGUGGCCGGGGAGACAGGCGUGCACACAGCCUAGAAGGCUUCCUCGGGGACUCCUGAGGACUUCAGCUGGCACGUUCACCAUACCUCGCGGCAGCUGCCUACACGUGGGCUUCUGUGGAGUUUCUGUCACGCUCCGGACCUGGCACUGCAUAGUGGCAGUAGGCACUCUGUGGACUUCCAACGAGACAGCCUUAUUCAUUUUCACGGUGAUUACCAGUGAUGGUACUCGGUCAAAGCAGGCGGAACCGACCAAGAUGCUGCGGAUUCGAGGGACGGGUACCUUUCUAUUCAGUUUCCACAUUGAAGCCCUCAUGUUCCCUUCAGAUUGGUCCGUUCCUGAACGGGCAUUAGACACGCUUUUGUAACUGAUGUCAGAAUUGGCCAGGAGUGAGAAGUAGGGCCUAACCCCUGAUUUCCCACGGGGAUCUGGAAUCAGCACAGCUAAUAGGAGAAGAAGGGCCAAACGACAGAGAACCAUCAACAGGCGUGUGGGGAAACCAUCUGAGCCACAGCGUGAGCAGGGCGAGAAGGUUUCUGUCUUUCGGACUGGAUGCUGGUCUACCUUGCGCAGAAUGGUGGCCCUGUGGAGAUGGCCCCUGGGCAGAAAAACAGGGUCUCCACAGCCAAAGUGCUCCUCAGGGUGGGAGCCAGGGAGACAGGGACAGCAUGAUCCCAGGCUCUGUGCCCAAGCAUGACACAGUCUUUUCAAAGGUUUGGUUGAAUGAAUCAAGGUCGAGGUGAGGCUAUGAAUAAACCCUUUUCCUAUUCCAGAUA